This 397-nucleotide long non-coding RNA is filed under the name Capsicum annuum. RNAcentral describes it as "long non-coding RNA (CANN_LNC018278)". Lineage: Eukaryota; Viridiplantae; Streptophyta; Magnoliopsida; Solanales; Solanaceae. The record is from RNAcentral.
AAACAUAUACACAUGUAUACAUUAAAUAUACACUUCUAUAGAAGAUAUAUGCACAAAUAUACAAAACAUAUGCUACUUAAUAUAAUAAAUUAAUAAUAUUUGGUAGUAAAUUAAUAAUAUAUUAGAAGUAAGUUUUUAAUUUAAAGUAGAAAACUAGAAAUUCAAUUUAAAAUUUUAAAUCGUUAAAUGAAAAAAUAUAAAAAGCAAGGACUAAGGAGUGAAUGAAUUUGGGAAAUUUUAUUGAUUGCAAAAUGAUCCAAAAUUUAUAAUUUACAUGAAUGAAAAAUCUACAAAUUAUGCAUCAUUUUUUCCAACUCAUUCAUGUUAAUAUUAAUGGGAACUUGCAUAGGAUAGUCAAAGUUAACGGGGGAAAAACCAUGCAUUGGACUUGAUUCUG